AUGUGUGUCCCUAAGAGUUGGGGUUGGGGCGAUAUGGGUUUUCGUGGUAUACACAGUUUUAACUUGGCUAUGCUUGCUGAGCAAUGUUGGCGACUGAUUGAUAAUUAUGACUCUUUGUGUGCCAAGGUUCUGAGAUCAAAAUACUACCCUUCCGGUGAUUUGCUUAAUUGUGCUCUAAAGAAGGGAUCAUCCUACACAUGGCAAAGUAUUUGGUCAGGGAUCCAGACUUUCAAGAAAGGAUGUAUUUGGAGAGUUGGUAAUGGACUCAAAAUUAAUAUUUGGGAUGAUUGUUUGUUUCCAAGCAGUACCUCAAGGAAGAUAAUUACAGUGCGGGGUAAUUGUGUUCUCACUACGGUGAAUGAACUCAUAGACCCUACUACCGGAGAUUGGGAUGAACUCCUUAUUCGGGAUAUUUUUUGGCAUAUUGACACGGAAAGGAUAUUGCAGAUCCCUCUGUUCCAACACUAUACUGAUGACUUUGUUGCAUGGCAUCUUACAAAAUCUGGGGUAUUUUCUGUCCGGUCAGCGUACUACCGUUAA
RNAcentral lists this ribosomal RNA (540 nucleotides) under Triticum aestivum (bread wheat). Its description in RNAcentral is "partial small subunit ribosomal RNA". The record is from RNAcentral. Lineage: Eukaryota; Viridiplantae; Streptophyta; Magnoliopsida; Poales; Poaceae.